Molecule: ribosomal RNA, 358 nt
Filed under: uncultured Anaerolineaceae bacterium
Lineage: Bacteria; Bacillati; Chloroflexota; Anaerolineae; Anaerolineales; Anaerolineaceae
Description: bacterial SSU rRNA
Rfam family: Bacterial small subunit ribosomal RNA
Source: RNAcentral
ACCGACCCUUCGGGGAGCUUGAACAGGUGCUGCAUGGCUGUCGUCAGCUCGUGUCGUGAGAUGUUCGGUUAAGUCCGCUAACGAGCGCAACCCUCGCUGUGUGUUACAAGUGUCACACGGAACUGCCGGUCAUAAACCGGAGGAAGGUGGGGAUGACGUCAAGUCAGCAUGGCCUUUAUAUCCUGGGCUACACACACGCUACAAUGGGAAGGGACAAUAGGUUGCGAAGCCGCGAGGCGGAGCCAAUCCAGCAAAACUUCCCUCAGUUCAGAUUGCAGGCUGCAACUCGCCUGCAUGAAGUUGGAGUUGCUAGUAAACGCAGGUCAGCCAUACUGCGUUGAAUACGUUCCCGGGGCUU